Molecule: ribosomal RNA, 446 nt
Filed under: uncultured bacterium
Lineage: Bacteria
Description: partial 16S ribosomal RNA
Rfam family: Bacterial small subunit ribosomal RNA
Source: RNAcentral
CCUACGGGGGGCAGCAGUCGAGAAUCAUUCACAAUGGGGGAAACCCUGAUGGUGCGACGCCGCGUGGGGGAAUGAAGGUCUUCGGAUUGUAAACCUCUGUCAUGUGGGAGCAAAUUCAAAAGAUAGUACCACAAGAGGAAGAGACGGCUAACUCUGUGCCAGCAGCCGCGGUAAUACAGAGGUCUCAAGCGGUGUUCGGAAUCACUGGGCUUAAAGCGUGCGUAGGCUGUUUCGUAAGUCGUGUGUGAAAGGCGCGGGCUCAACCCGCGGACGGCAGAUGAUACUGCGAGACUAGAGUAAUGGAGGGGGAACCGGAAUUCGCGGUGUAGCAGUGAAAUGCGUAGAUAUCGAGAGGAACACUCGUGGCGAAGGCAGGUUCCUGGACAUUAACUGACGCUGAGGCACGAAGGCCAGGGGAGCGAAAGGGAUUAGAUACCCGGGUAGUC